RNAcentral lists this long non-coding RNA (460 nucleotides) under Rattus norvegicus (Norway rat). RNAcentral describes it as "long non-coding RNA NONRATT013935". Lineage: Eukaryota; Metazoa; Chordata; Mammalia; Rodentia; Muridae. The record is from RNAcentral.
CGCAGGCGCCGUCGGCCUCGCUCCAGCCGCCCGCUCCCCAGGGCUCGGCCGGGGCUGGUCUGCGGCCCUCGGGCGGGCGGCGUGGCCCUCGCCUCGGCGGCCUCCUCCUCGCGACGGCGCAGACGGCGCAGGCAGCAGCGCUCCAGCCGCGCCUCGUCGAUGCCCCAGUAGGCCAGCUCGUCCCGGAAGGCCAGGGCGCACGGGCCGCGCAGCAGCCUCAGCUUGCCGGCGCGCAGCAGCGCCACGAUGGCGCGGAAAGCGCACGGGCUGCGGUCGAAGAAGAACUCGUCGCGGCUCACGUCGUAGUCGUCACACACGCGCAGCAGCUCGUCGUGGCCGCGGCAGGCUCGCAGGCGCUCGAGGCGAGCCAGGGGACAGCGGGCCAGCGCAGCCCAGGCCAGACGCACCCUGCAGCCCCCGACGUUGAUUAUGACGUGGCGCGCCCGGGCCCCGCGGCCGC